CCUACGGGAGGCAGCAGUGGGGGAUAUUGCACAAUGGGGGGAACCCUGAUGCAGCGACGCCGCGUGGGUGAAGAAGCGCCUCGGCGCGUAAAGCCCUGUCAGCAGGGAAGAAAAUGACGGUACCUGAAGAAGAAGCCCCGGCUAACUACGUGCCAGCAGCCGCGGGAAUACGUAGGGGGCAAGCGUUAACCGGAUUUACUGGGGGUAGAGGGGGCGCAGACGGCGCUGCAAGCCAGGAGUGAAAGCCCGGGGCCCAACCCCGGGACUGCUCUUGGAACUGCGUGGCUGGAGUGCAGGAGGGGCAGGCGGAAUUCCUGGUGUAGCGGUGAAAUGCGUAGAUAUCAGGAGGAACACCGGUGGCGAAGGCGGUCUGCUGGACUGCAACUGACGUUGAGGCCCGAAAGCGUGGGGAGCAAACAGGAUUAGAUACCCUUGUAGUC
RNAcentral lists this ribosomal RNA (440 nucleotides) under uncultured bacterium. Its description in RNAcentral is "partial 16S ribosomal RNA". It matches the Rfam family "Bacterial small subunit ribosomal RNA", at positions 338 to 795 of the family's 1533-position model. The record is from RNAcentral.